This is a long non-coding RNA of Tachysurus vachellii, 2650 nucleotides long. RefSeq lists it as uncharacterized. The transcript is spliced from 7 exons. NCBI's taxonomy places the organism in Eukaryota, Metazoa, Chordata, Actinopteri, Siluriformes, Bagridae. The record is from RefSeq and is a predicted model, not a curated record.
AAUUAGAAACUCAAGAACCUGAAACCCCCAUUCAGAUGAGUGACUGUGAUGGCGGCACUGCAGCUUCAUCCACAAAGAAAAACUUCAUUGACCAGUUUUUUGGGGUGGUGUUUGACACAACAUAUCCUUUAAGAUCUAAUGAAGUGCAUGGAGUCAGAGGACGAGGAACCCGUCGUAGGUCUGGAGAGCAAUCUACAGCUCAGCUGCUUCAUCAACUAGGAGGUCAAAUAUCUAGCAAACGGAAUUAGAUUGUCUAAAAUCAGUCGUCUCCCAGGGUACCUGACUGUUCAGAUGGUUCACUUCUACUACAAGGAGAGGAAGUCUGUUAACACCAAAGUUCUCAAGCAGAUCAGUGAUGAUGUCAUCGAUAUGGGGGCAGGCUAAACAUGAGCGUAAGCAGAGAAGGCGUGCGAAAACAUUGUAUAAAAGUAGGGCGUGUGACCCAGCCCGAAUUUCAAAUUCAAUUUCGGCGGGAUAUUACAAUGGAGAUGUUUGAAGUCAGAGUGACCACCUUCACUGGAAAUCCUUUCAACCUCCAGGUUGAUCCAGGAGACACAAUUGGGAGCGUCAAGGAGAGGAUGCAGGUCCUAAAAAAGAUACCACCAGUGGCUGCUCAUGGGUGACACCCUCCUGGAUGACGGGUCACAACCUGUCCAACUACAACAUCCUGAAGGGGUCGACCAUUAUGCUGGUGCUCCACUUCAGGACCUGUGACAGCUGUGUUUUGGUGUACCCCCUAACACGCCAGUCAGUCAAACUGACCAAUCCAUAGGGAUGCACACUGCACGGCUUCGGUGGAUAAACGUUCAACACCGAACGACAUGAACACAACGGCUCUUUUAAGAUUUAAAUAGAAAUCGUUGUGGAGACCCAGUUCGGCGACGUCUUCCCCCUCAAGGUCCAGCCAGGAAGCAGGGUUGAAGACGUAAAGACCGCCAUAUCUGCUCUAAGAGGGAUUCCCCAAGACCACCAGAUCCUGAUCCUAGGCUACACCAUCCUGGAGGACAAUCGCACCCUGUCAGACUACAACAUCCAGGAGGGGUCGACCGUCUGCCUGGUGAUCCGCCUCAGGACUGCACGUUAACACCCGUUCAACACCGAACAACGUGAACACAACCAGUAUAUAAUAAUAAAUAAUAAUAAUAGAAAGGACGUAGAAAGAAAAAACAAACUAUUAUUAUUAUUAUUAUUAUUAUUAUUAUUAUUAUUAUUUCUGUCAGGACCACUUUGUCAAAUGAGAAUUUAUUAGAUGAUAGUAUACAGUUAGUGUUGGCGGUAUGGUUCUGUUCUGGGAGCAGCAAGACGUGGAGAUUUAAGACGUAAACUGGUACAACGAACACAGGUUCUGGCAUGGUGGAGUUGGGGUUGCAGGAGGGAGUUUAAGUCGCAGCGGGAGCGACGCGCUAGAAAGCGGCUCAAUGAAUGGGAAUUUAAAUGGUCGGGUAAUAUGGAUGUCGUAACCGGAUUGGUGCGCGUCAUGGACAGCUGAUGAACAGCUGAUGCACGCUUGACGACGUAGCCUGCCAGAACUGACCCGAUGCUUGAUUAUUAUUAUUAUUGUUGUUGUAAUUCUUUUAAUGUACUACUUUUACAUGCAAAACAAAAAUGGAAUUCUGUAUUAAUAUUUGCCUUAUGCUUGUUUGCAAAAAAAAAGAGAGAGACAGAAAUAACAAAACAAUAGUUUAGUUGUGUCAUGACAGCAUGUGAAGCUGCUACAACGUUAACGAGAUAAUAGACGAACAAAACACAAAGCGUUUAUGGCCAUGUCCACACUAAUCCGGAUAUAUUUACGUUUUCCAAAAGUUGCUCAUCCACACUGAAAUGUAUGAAAACGCUUACAUCUCCCUACUGCGCAUGAGUAAAGCUUCGACCUGCAUCAUUUCCGCUAUACGUUUAUUUACUUUCGACUGCAUCACAUGACUAAAAAUGCGUCAUAGUAUUCAAAAGCCUCCUUCUUCACAGUCUACACUAAGACACGAAGACGGCAUUUUCAAAUUUAUCCGCUUUGGAGAGCGUCUUCCAACAGCUAUGUUUUCAUUGACUUAAAAUGCUGUCUCAGUGUGGACGAAAGGCCAAAACGGAGAGAAAAAUAUUUGUUUUCAAACGAAAACGUAUUAGUGUGGACAUGGCCUUAAAAACACUUAAGAAAUUAACGGUUGCCAGCUUUUAGGGCGGAGCUGCUGAACACCUAAAGAACAACAAGCUCUGGUCUGGAAAAUAAAAAUUUUGAUUUUUAUAUUUAAUAAAACAUGCCUUUGGAAUUUUUCUACAAAAAACAAACAAACAAAACAAAUCCAGAUUCCAUUUAAAUAGUAUAAGAACAAAUACAUUCAAAUUUUGGUUUUGCACUAUAAAAGAUCCCAUUGUAACGUUUUGAAUUGGCAUUUGGUCCUGUAUUUUAAACAAGAAUACAAUUAGUCAGAUUUAAAAAAAAAAAAAAAAACACUAAACAAAAUGAGGAAAAAACUCCACACUUGUGCUAUUUAGAUCUCUUUGGCUUUCUCAGUGAGGAACAACAUUCAUCCUGUUUGGACACAUGAAAAGUUCAGCACCUUUUUGGCAGCUUACAUUCUUGAAUGUUGUUUGAUUUUAGAGCACUGUCACAAACACAGAUACCAAAAGUAAAAGGCACGUUGGUUUAAAAAACAAA